Molecule: unclassified non-coding RNA, 202 nt
Filed under: Hevea brasiliensis (rubber tree)
Lineage: Eukaryota; Viridiplantae; Streptophyta; Magnoliopsida; Malpighiales; Euphorbiaceae
Source: RNAcentral
UAUUUUUAUAAUUUUUGAAGUGCUAAAAAUAAUCAUUUGGACUGUAAAUGGUUAGGGACCCAGGCUAGAGUUUGAAAGAUUGGACCUAUUUUAGGUUUCUUAUAGGGCCGUAUGGGCAUUAUAAUUGUUAUUGUGAGCCUCUGGCUCUGUGUGUUAUUGUUGUUGUGUUUUCUUGCAAGGGAGUUAGGUUCAGUUAUAGGAG